RNAcentral lists this long non-coding RNA (1821 nucleotides) under Mytilus galloprovincialis (Mediterranean mussel). The record is from RNAcentral. Lineage: Eukaryota; Metazoa; Mollusca; Bivalvia; Mytilida; Mytilidae.
CACCAUCAAAACACUGUGAACUAGAUCCAAUGCCUACCUAUUUACUAAAAUCUUGUUCAAAUGAACUUCUACCGGCAGUGACAAACAUUGUUUAUUGCUCGUUGUCAGAAUCACUGGUGCCAUCUUCAUUUAAGCAAGCUAUCGUUCGACCAUUGCUGAAGAAACCUAGUCUAGAUCGCGAAGUGUUAAAAAACUACCGUCCGGUGUCAAACCUUCCGUUUUUGUCGAAGGUCUUGGAAAAAGUUGUUUCAUCUCGGCUUGAACACCACAUAGAAUCGAAUAAUCUGCAAGAAAAUCUGCAAUCUGCAUACCGAGCUCGUCAUUCUACAGAAACAGCUCUUCUACGUGUUCACCACGAUAUAGUUUCUGCACUGGACAAAAACAGUUGUGUUGUACUUCUGAUGCUCGAUCUUUCGGCCGCAUUUGAUGUUAUUGACCACAAGAUUUUACUAGAACGUCUGAACUAUUCUUUCGGAGUCUCUGAUAGCGCCUUAUCGUGGAUCGAGUCUUACUUGAAAGAUAGAACUCAGAGAGUUGCCAUUGGCACCAAACAAUCUGACGAUCUACGUCUUCAAUACGGUGUGCCUCAAGGCUCUGUUCUAGGACCAAAGUUAUACUGCAUGUACUCGAAACCUGUUGGUGAAAUAUGCAGGCGACAUAAAAUGCUUUACCACUCGUAUGCCGACGACACUCAGGCAUAUCAAGUGAUUAAACCGGAAGGUGAUUGGGACGAUCUAUCCGACCGUUUGAAAGCGUGUUUGUCAGAGAUAAGCGAUGGAUGACUGACAUCAAAUAUGCUGAAACUGAAUCAGGACAAAACAGAGCUCAUCGUCUUUGCUCCGAAACAUCGAGUCAAACAGUUAUCAAAGUAUGAGCUACCCUUCGAUGGCACUAUUUUAAGUGAUGCGAACUGUGUUAGGUAUCUGGGAGUGUUCUUUGAUAAGACAUUGAGUAUGGAACAGCAGGUAACAGCCGUCUCAAAAUCAUGUUACCACCAGAUUCGAACCAUCGGAAACAUUAGAUCGUAUAUCACCGAAAAUGCGUGUAAGACACUAGUCUGCUCUCUUGUCACCUCCAGAUUAGACUAUGGGAACGCUUUGCUAUAUAAUGUAAACUCUUCCACUAUAGCAAGACUGCAACGCGUUCAAAACACAGCAGCUAGACUUAUCACAAAAAAGGGAGUUUGACUCUAUAACACCUGUUCUGAUGCAGCUACAUUGGCUCCCCGUGCAAUACCGAUCACAUUUUAAACUUUUACUUUACGUUUUUAAGGCAUUACACGAUAAAGCACCUAAAUAUUUGGAAGAACUGAUUGUACCAUACGCUCCUUUUAGAACACUUCGGUCAGAAAAUGAAGGACUCAUAACGAAACCAAGAGAUGUCCGCACUAAAACAUACGGUGAAAGACGAUUCGACCGAGCUGGAGCUACAUUGUGGAAUGACCUACCAAUUCAUUUACGGAAAGAACAAUCGCUUCCUCGUUUUAAAAAAGGUUUGAAGACACAUAUUUUUAGACUGGCGUACUGUGAUGUGUAAGACCUGUGAUAUUUGUUUAUUAUUCUAAAAGUUUAAGUGAUAGGACCUUUUUAUUUUUAUUUUAUUUAAAUUUUUAGUUUUAAAGAUUUUAUUUAAGAGACAGUUUUAUUUAUUUUUUCUCUGUGUUUUACUGGUUAAAUUUCUACCUUAUAUUUUCUCUUAGCCAAGUGAAUAAAUCCUUUAAUGCAAAUUUUUAUAGAUUUUACUUGUGUAUAUAACGCAGGGAAUGUAAUUACUUAUAAUUUUCAUCAUUAUUUUAUUUAAUUUUUGAUUGACUGUUAUAUU